This 253-nucleotide ribosomal RNA is filed under the name uncultured bacterium. RNAcentral's name for it is "partial 16S ribosomal RNA". It matches the Rfam family "Bacterial small subunit ribosomal RNA", at positions 30 to 289 of the family's 1533-position model. The record is from RNAcentral.
UUGAACGCUGGCGGCAUGCCUUACACAUGCAAGUCGAACGGUAACGCGGGGCAACCUGGCGACGAGUGGCGAACGGGUGAGUAAUGCAUCGGAACGUGCCCAGUAGUGGGGGAUAGCCCGGCGAAAGCCGGAUUAAUACCGCAUACGACCUACGGGUGAAAGCGGGGGACCGCAAGGCCUCGCGCUAUUGGAGCGGCCGAUGUCGGAUUAGCUAGUUGGUGGGUAAGCCUACCAAGGCGACGAUCCGUAGCUG